GACGAACGCUGGCGGCGUGCUUAACACAUGCAAGUCGAACGGUGAAGCCCUUCGGGGUGGAUCAGUGGCGAACGGGUGAGUAACACGUGAGCAACCUGCCCUUGACUCUGGGAUAACUCCGGGAAACCGGUGCUAAUACUGGAUAUGACGCGCGGAGGCAUCUUCGGCGUGUGGAAAGAUUUAUUGGUCAAGGAUGGGCUCGCGGCCUAUCAGCUUGUUGGUGGGGUAAUGGCCUACCAAGGCGACGACGGGUAGCCGGCCUGAGAGGGCGACCGGCCACACUGGGACUGAGACACGGCCCAGACUCCUACGGGAGGCAGCAGUGGGGAAUAUUGCGCAAUGGGCGAAAGCCUGACGCAGCGACGCCGCGUGAGGGAUGAAGGCCUUCGGGUUGUAAACCUCUUUCAGCAGGGAAGAAGCGAGAGUGACGGUACCUGCAGAAGAAGCACCGGCUAACUACGUGCCAGCCGCCGCCGUAACAC
This 482-nucleotide ribosomal RNA is filed under the name uncultured bacterium. RNAcentral's name for it is "bacterial SSU rRNA". It matches the Rfam family "Bacterial small subunit ribosomal RNA", at positions 28 to 526 of the family's 1533-position model. The record is from RNAcentral.